RNAcentral lists this ribosomal RNA (164 nucleotides) under uncultured bacterium. RNAcentral describes it as "partial 16S ribosomal RNA". It matches the Rfam family "Bacterial small subunit ribosomal RNA", at positions 355 to 511 of the family's 1533-position model. The record is from RNAcentral.
UAGGGAAUCUUCCACAAUGGACGCAGGUCUGAUGGAGCAACGCCGCGUGAGUGAAGAAGGGUUUCGGCUCGUAAAGCUCUGUUGUUAAAGAAGAACGUGGGUAAGAGUAACUGUUCAUACGUUGACGGUAUUUAACCAGAAAGUCACGGCUAACUAAGUCCCAG